This 77-nucleotide transfer RNA is filed under the name bacterium. Its description in RNAcentral is "tRNA-Pro". It matches the Rfam family "tRNA". Rfam says of the family: Transfer RNA (tRNA) molecules are approximately 80 nucleotides in length. RNAcentral also lists the same sequence under 3 other names. The record is from RNAcentral.
CGGGGUGUAGCGCAGUCUGGUAGCGCGCUUGUUUUGGGAACAAGAGGUCGCUGGUUCGAACCCAGUCACCCCGACCA